Clarias gariepinus (North African catfish) is the source of this 586-nucleotide long non-coding RNA. RefSeq lists it as uncharacterized. The transcript is spliced from 3 exons. Lineage: Eukaryota; Metazoa; Chordata; Actinopteri; Siluriformes; Clariidae. The record is from RefSeq and is a predicted model, not a curated record.
AAAGGUAUCUGCAAUAACUAUCGCCAAUCCUGCUUACGUGAACCCACAGGACCUCAGUGGAGUCAGCAACAUCCCACCAGCUGGAGGUCCUCCAGAUUACAGCAAGUCAGAAAGUCAACCUGCCUUUACUGCUUGACCAGUAUAUUUAACAGAAGACCAAAUGAUGUCAAUGUGGACAGUUUAAAAUCCUGCAGUUACUUUAACUUCUUAGAAAUUAAAUAUGUUCCUAGAACAGCACAUUAUUAGCUAUUGCUUCUGCCACUGAAAUCUGCCAAUGAUUGCACAGUUUUUCUUUUAUUAUUAUUAUCAUUAUUAUUAUUAAUCAAAUAACAAUGUUUGAUUUUCUCUGUUUUGCGCACAUGCACAGAGUGAAAAUCAAACAUUGUUAUUCAAGGCCAUGUAAACAUUUAAACGUCACCAGAAGAAUUUUAAAAUUAAUUCGGCACUGUACCGGGAGCCAAUGAAGGAAGGCCAGGACUGGAGAAAUAUGUUUUCUUUUACGCGUAGACAUUAAUAGUCGAGCGGCUGAAUUUUGGAUGUAAUGCUGCCUGAGAAACCCCAAAAUACAAAGCGUUACAGUAAUCAA